AAAGUUUUUAAAGGUAUCGCCGGCAGCCCACGGACCGUGCUCGUUUCAGUCCGGAGAGACCUGAUCUGCUCUUGGGCUAUAUACGCCCUGGGAGUUGAUCGGGGGUCCCCUUCCUACUAGGACUAGUGGGGAUCCGGGCAAGGUUUCUUGCCUUGACAGCUAUGUCAAGAACGUGCCUGUAUGUGUGAGGGCCAAACGGCCAGUUUAAGUGACAGCUGUGGGAAGACGCCCCGAGCCUACUGCAAAGCGAAAGCUCGUGACCGGGAGUGUCUCGAAAGCAAGUCCCACAGCUGAGCUUGGAGAGAUUGUGAAGCUUCCCAGCUGGCAGGCCUUGGUAAGUGGCUAGCCAGCUGAGGUGCGUGCAUGCUUCCCCGUCCUUUUCCCCUUCCCCUUCCAUGACCUAUGACCCUGUGACCGCUCUUCGAGUACUGUCUUGUAAAGGACCGCAGGGUCCUUAUCCUUGCCCUCCGGAGCCAUAAGCUCCCUCCCCUUCUCGGAGAGAAGGAGAGCCCCAGGAAACUGCACCGCUGACUCAUUAGCUCAAGAGGCACCGUUGGCUUGAAGGCUGAUGCUCUGGGCAAGAGAGAAGGCGUGCGGGGACCA
Non-coding RNA from Chelonoidis abingdonii (Abingdon island giant tortoise), 603 nucleotides. NCBI's taxonomy places the organism in Eukaryota, Metazoa, Chordata, Testudines, Testudinidae. The record is from RefSeq and is a predicted model, not a curated record.